GUGCAGCAGUCGCGCAACCUCUGCAAUACGCGAAAGCGUGACAGGGCUACCCCGAGUGCCGUCCGCUGAGGAUGGCUUUUCUCCGCUGUAGUAAGCCGGAGGAAUAAGGAGAGGGCAAGUCUGGUGUCAGCCGCCGCGGUAAUACCAGCUCUCCGAGUGGUAGGGACGAUUAUUGGGCCUAAAGCGUCCGUAGCCGGCUAAGCAAGUUUCCCGUUAAAUCCAGCGAUUCAAUCGUUGGACUGCGGGAAAUACUGUUGAGCUAGGAGGCGAGAGAGGCCGACGGUAUUCCCGGAGUAGGGGUGAAAUCCCAUAAUCCCGGGAGGACCACCAGUGGCGAAGGCUGUUGGCUAGAACGCGCUCGACGGUGAGGGACGAAAGCUGGGGGAGCGAACCGGAUUAGAUACCCCUGGAGUCC
This 415-nucleotide ribosomal RNA is filed under the name uncultured crenarchaeote. Its description in RNAcentral is "partial 16S ribosomal RNA". It matches the Rfam family "Archaeal small subunit ribosomal RNA", at positions 330 to 747 of the family's 1478-position model. Lineage: Archaea; Thermoproteati; Thermoproteota. The record is from RNAcentral.